This 376-nucleotide ribosomal RNA is filed under the name Tremarctos ornatus (spectacled bear). RNAcentral's name for it is "partial small subunit ribosomal RNA". The record is from RNAcentral. Lineage: Eukaryota; Metazoa; Chordata; Mammalia; Carnivora; Ursidae.
CAGAGAACUACUAGCAAUCGCUUAAAACUCAAAGGACUUGGCGGUGCUUUAAACCCCCUAGAGGAGCCUGUUCUAUAACCGAUAAACCCCGAUAAACCUCACCACCCCUUGCUAAUCCAGUCUAUAUACCGCCAUCUUCAGCGAACCCUUAAAAGGAAAAAAAGUAAGCAUAAUUAUCUCACAUAAAAAAGUUAGGUCAAGGUGUAACCUAUGGGAUGGGAAGAAAUGGGCUACAUUUUCUACUCAAGAAAAGUCUACGAAAAUUUUUAUGAAACUAAAAACUAAAGGGGGAUUUAUUAGUAAACUAAAAAUAGAGAGCUUAGUUGAAUAGGGCAAUGAAACACGCACACACCGCCCGUCACCCUCCUGCAGUCAA